AAAUUGAAGAGUUUGAUCAUGGCUCAGAUUGAACGCUGGCGGCAGGCCUAACACAUGCAAGUCGAACGGUAACAGGAAGCAGCUUGCUGCUUUGCUGACGAGUGGCGGACGGGUGAGUAAUGUCUGGGAAACUGCCUGAUGGAGGGGGAUAACUACUGGAAACGGUGGCUAAUACCGCAUAACGUCGCAAGACCAAAGAGGGGGACCUUCGGGCCUCUUGCCAUCAGAUGUGCCCAGAUGGGAUUAGCUAGUUGGUGAGGUAACGGCUCACCAAGGCGACGAUCCCUAGCUGGUCUGAGAGGAUGACCAGCCACACUGGAACUGAGACACGGUCCAGACUCCUACGGGAGGCAGCAGUGGGGAAUAUUGCACAAUGGGCGCAAGCCUGAUGCAGCCAUGCCGCGUGUAUGAAGAAGGCCUUCGGGUUGUAAAGUACUUUCAGCGGGGAGGAAGGUGUUGUGGUUAAUAACCGCAGCAAUUGACGUUACCCGCAGAAGAAGCACCGGCUAACUCCGUGCCAGCAGCCGCGGUAAUACGGAGGGUGCAAGCGUUAAUCGGAAUUACUGGGCGUAAAGCGCACGCAGGCGGUCUGUCAAGUCGGAUGUGAAAUCCCCGGGCUCAACCUGGGAACUGCAUUCGAAACUGGCAGGCUUGAGUCUUGUAGAGGGGGGUAGAAUUCCAGGUGUAGCGGUGAAAUGCGUAGAGAUCUGGAGGAAUACCGGUGGCGAAGGCGGCCCCCUGGACAAAGACUGACGCUCAGGUGCGAAAGCGUGGGGAGCAAACAGGAUUAGAUACCCUGGUAGUCCACGCCGUAAACGAUGUCUACUUGGAGGUUGUGCCCUUGAGGCGUGGCUUCCGGAGCUAACGCGUUAAGUAGACCGCCUGGGGAGUACGGCCGCAAGGUUAAAACUCAAAUGAAUUGACGGGGGCCCGCACAAGCGGUGGAGCAUGUGGUUUAAUUCGAUGCAACGCGAAGAACCUUACCUGGUCUUGACAUCCACAGAACUUUCCAGAGAUGGAUUGGUGCCUUCGGGAACUGUGAGACAGGUGCUGCAUGGCUGUCGUCAGCUCGUGUUGUGAAAUGUUGGGUUAAGUCCCGCAACGAGCGCAACCCUUAUCCUUUGUUGCCAGCGGUC
Molecule: ribosomal RNA, 1136 nt
Filed under: Salmonella enterica
Lineage: Bacteria; Pseudomonadati; Pseudomonadota; Gammaproteobacteria; Enterobacterales; Enterobacteriaceae
Also listed under: 1 other name
Description: bacterial SSU rRNA
Rfam family: Bacterial small subunit ribosomal RNA
Source: RNAcentral